GUCAGUGGAACAGACCAGGGAAUAGAGUGUCAUGAGGUCAGUGGAACAGACCAGGGAAUAGAGUGUCAUGAGGUCAGUGGAACAGACCAGAGAAUAGAGUGUCAUGAGGUCAGUGGAACAGACCAGGGAAUAGAGUGUCAUGAGGUCAGUAUAACAGACCAGAGAAUAGAGUGUCAUGAGGUUAGUGGAACAGACCAGGGAAUAGAGUGUCAUGAGGUCAGUAUAACAGACCAGAGAAUAGAGUGUCAUGAGGUCAGUGGAACAGACCAGAGAAUAGAGUGUCAUGAGGUCAGUGGAACAGACCAGGGAAUAGAGUGUCAUGAGGUCAGUGGAACAGACCAGGGAAUAGAGUGUCAUGAGGUCAGUAUAACAGACCAGAGAAUAGCAGGAAGAGGGUUAACUGGGACAGUGGCAGGAGAACACUAGCACUACUGCCAAUAUUUGGAGGACUUUUGAAGCGGUUACUCUCCCUCCAUGGUAAUGGCAACCUGCCUGCCCACUACAAGGACAACACAACAAUAUACACAUUGAUAAAGUCAUUUCUCAGAAGCUUUGCAUGCACAUGCAGUAUUACAAAAUACAGUUAGAUCAUCAGAGUAUAUAGACCUAUUGAAAAAGUGUAAAAUCCAGUGCGACAGUCAUUAAAUUGGUUGAGGUUAACAUGGUUGUAGUAGGUAAAGGACAGGGCAGUGAGAUGAUCCAUUUACAAAGAAGAUGCUCCGUCUCCAUUUGGUCUCCCCUUUUCUGGGAAGAAAACAAGUAUUUGUGCACCGAAUAGAACGUUAGACAAAGCUCCUCCCACUAAUAAAUGCUCCUAGUUUGGAAGUUGCGGGGUUGAGGUGCGUAUUUGGGGUCACAUUAGUUGGUCUGAUCAAAAUGCUGCCUCCUGCGGAUUCUGAAGUAGUGGUCAGCUAUUCCACUGUGGCUGCUGCCAACUUUUGGUUGAUUUCAGGUCACAGAGGAAUGGUGUGGUGUGAGCAUUAGGAAGAGGGCCAACAAUACAAGACCUGCACAACCGUGGUGCAGCAGUAGUGUUGUUGAGUCUCUGAAUGGGUCAUCUUACUGAUUUAACACAUUUAAAAGAAGCAUCCCUGAUUCCCCAAACAUUUCCAUUAAAGACUAAAAGCCUUUUCCAUCAUGAUUGUAAUUCUUCAAUCUCAAUCUUCAAACUACAAGCCCUUUUAUUCAAGGGCAAAUACAUGUUUGGAAAAGCAGAAAGAAAGGACCACACAGACAGAAAAGUACAUAAAAACUGUUUAUAAAAAGCAUCUGAAGAUCCAAAAAUCCUUCCUUGCCCUAAAAAACAAAAUGUCCUCCCUCUUUCGAACCACAGCAUGAAAGAGAAAGGAGGCAGUCACUCUAGCCUUGCACUCCCAUGGGGGCCAAAAGUGGCCCCUGAACUUAAUAGUACAUUUUCAUAAUUUGAAUGAAGAUGGAAUAAAGAUCCCCAGACAAGAGGAGGCUGGAGACAUUCCAUCAUAGCUGUGUCUCUACACACCCAGAGUCAAAAUCCAACUCAAACUCAUCAAGGUACAGUCACACUCCAGGUUCCCAUAAAAAAACAUCCUCUAUUUCACAUGACUUAACAUUCCUGAAAGCAGUCAGAGGGACAGCCCUCACUCCCCAAACCCUGGAACACAACAAUACUGUCCAACCCCACUAAUACAGUGGGAGGGACCAGACAGACAUAACCUGCUCUCAUGGCUUGUUGUUGGACGUCCUGUUAGCUGUUAGAAUGUGUUGUUAUUGACCUUCUGCUUGUGCUCGUACAAUAGAAGCCAUAUUGCCAUGACUAUUCUGAUAACUAGUAGUCUACACUCUUAAAUAACCUUUGUACUUGUUUAUUACAGGUGAUCAUCUUGUGUCAUUUAUGAAAAAUACAUCAGCAAUUUUUUUAAUGAUUUCCUUUACUUUAAAGUCGUGCUGUGUGUGUGCGCUUGGGCGAGUGUGUGGCCAAUAAAUCUCCUCUUCAUUGCUUUGCGGUCCAUUUAACCAAGACACAUACACACAGUAUUGUGCCAGUGCAGUGGGUCUCUGUUCAGCCCAGCCUAGCCCACCUGCCAUUGGCUUAUUGUUGAUCAAUACCUCUCAGCAGCACAAUGAAUCCAGUGUCAGAGAAGAGAGGGACAGAGCUAGAGACAGAGGGAUGGAGCGAGGAGGGGGGGUGGUGACAGAGCUAGGGAGAGAGGGACAGAGCUAGGGACAGAGCUAAGGAGAGAGGAACAGAGCUAGGGACAGAGCUAGGGAGAGAGGGACAGAGCUAGGGAGAGAGGGACAGAGCUAGGGACAGAGGGAUGGAGCGAGGAGGGAGGGACAGAGCUAUAGAGGGAUGGAGCGAGGAGGGGGUGACAGAGCUAGGGACAGAGCUAGGGAGAGAGGGACAGAGCUAGUGACAGAGGGACAGAGCUAGGAGAGAGGGACAGAGCUAGGGACAGAGCUAGGGAGAGAGGGACAGAGCUAGUGACAGAGGAAUGGGGAG
Molecule: long non-coding RNA, 2479 nt
Organism: Oncorhynchus tshawytscha (Chinook salmon)
Lineage: Eukaryota; Metazoa; Chordata; Actinopteri; Salmoniformes; Salmonidae
Source: Ensembl